GGAAACGUGACCGAGGGGCCGAAGGUGCUCCCCUGCUAAGGGAGUAUGGGGUGUAGAGCCUCAUCGAGGGUUCGAAUCCCUCCGUUUCCGCCA
This 93-nucleotide transfer RNA is filed under the name bioreactor metagenome. RNAcentral's name for it is "tRNA-Ser". It matches the Rfam family "tRNA". From Rfam's summary of the family: Transfer RNA (tRNA) molecules are approximately 80 nucleotides in length. Their secondary structure includes four short double-helical elements and three loops (D, anti-codon, and T loops). The record is from RNAcentral.